This 164-nucleotide ribosomal RNA is filed under the name Lapsana communis. Its description in RNAcentral is "5.8S ribosomal RNA". It matches the Rfam family "5.8S ribosomal RNA". From Rfam's summary of the family: 5.8S ribosomal RNA (5.8S rRNA) is a component of the large subunit of the eukaryotic ribosome. It is transcribed by RNA polymerase I as part of the 45S precursor that also contains 18S and 28S rRNA. Functionally, it is thought that 5.8S rRNA may be involved in ribosome translocation. Lineage: Eukaryota; Viridiplantae; Streptophyta; Magnoliopsida; Asterales; Asteraceae. The record is from RNAcentral.
UAAACGACUCUCGGCAACGGAUAUCUCGGCUCACGCAUCGAUGAAGAACGUAGCAAAAUGCGAUACUUGGUGUGAAUUGCAGAAUCCCGUGAACCAUCGAGUUUUUGAACGCAAGUUGCGCCCAAAGCCAUCCGGUUGAGGGCACGCCUGCCUGGGCGUCACGC